CAGUCGAGCGGUAACAGAUGCAGCUUGCUGGAUGCUGACGAGCGGCGGACGGGUGAGUAAUGCAUGGGAAUCUGCCCGAUAGUGGGGGAUAACCUGGGGAAACCCAGGCUAAUACCGCAUACGUCCUACGGGAGAAAGGGGGCUCCGGCUCCCGCUAUGGGAUGAGCCUAUGUCCGAUUA
RNAcentral lists this ribosomal RNA (180 nucleotides) under Vreelandella aquamarina. RNAcentral describes it as "partial 16S ribosomal RNA". It matches the Rfam family "Bacterial small subunit ribosomal RNA", at positions 60 to 243 of the family's 1533-position model. The record is from RNAcentral. Lineage: Bacteria; Pseudomonadati; Pseudomonadota; Gammaproteobacteria; Oceanospirillales; Halomonadaceae.